UGCCAGCAGCCGCGGUAAUACGGAGGAUCCAAGCGUUAUCCGGAAUCAUUGGGUUUAAAGGGUCCGUAGGCGGCUUUAUAAGUCAGUGGUGAAAUCUCCCGGCUCAACCGGGAAAUGGCCAUUGAUACUGUAAGGCUUGAAUUAUUAGGAAGUAACUAGAAUAUGUAGCGUAGCGGUGAAAUGCUUAGAGAUUACAUGGAAUACCAAUUGCGAAGGCAGGUUACUACUAAUGGAUUGACGCUGAUGGACGAAAGCGUGGGUAGCGAACAGGAUUAGAUACCCUGGUAGUCCACGCCGUAAACGAUGGAUACUAGCUGUUGGGAGCAAUCUCAGUGGCUAAGCGAAAGUGAUAAGUAUCCCACCUGGGGAGUACGUUCGCAAGAAUGAAACUCAAAGGAAUUGACGGGGGCCCGCACAAGCGGUGGAGCAUGUGGUUUAAUUCGAUGAUACGCGAGGAACCUUACCAAGGCUUAAAUGUAGAUUGACCGGUUUGGAAACAGACUUUUCGCAAGACAAUUUACAAGGUGCUGCAUGGUUGUCGUCAGCUCGUGCCGUGAGGUGUCAGGUUAAGUCCUAUAACGAGCGCAACCCCUGUUGUUAGUUGCCAGCGAGUCAUGUCGGGAACUCUAACAAGACUGCCAGUGCAAACUGCGAGGAAGGUGGGGAUGACGUCAAAUCAUCACGGCCCUUACGCCUUGGGCUACACACGUGCUACAAUGGCCGGUACAGAGAGCAGCCACUGGGUGACCAGGAGCGAA
Molecule: ribosomal RNA, 758 nt
Filed under: uncultured Flavobacterium sp.
Lineage: Bacteria; Pseudomonadati; Bacteroidota; Flavobacteriia; Flavobacteriales; Flavobacteriaceae
Description: bacterial SSU rRNA
Rfam family: Bacterial small subunit ribosomal RNA
Source: RNAcentral